RNAcentral lists this ribosomal RNA (253 nucleotides) under uncultured bacterium. Its description in RNAcentral is "partial 16S ribosomal RNA". It matches the Rfam family "Bacterial small subunit ribosomal RNA", at positions 524 to 776 of the family's 1533-position model. The record is from RNAcentral.
UACGGAGGGUGCAAGCGUUAAUCGGAAUUACUGGGCGUAAAGCGCACGUAGGCGGCCAACUAAGUCAGACGUGAAAUCCCUCGGCUUAACCGGGGAACUGCGUCUGAUACUGGAUGGCUCGAGUUUGGGAGAGGGAUGCGGAAUUCCAGGUGUAGCGGUGAAAUGCGUAGAUAUCUGGAGGAACACCGGUGGCGAAGGCGGCAUCCUGGACCAACACUGACGCUGAUGAGCGAAAGCCAGGGGAGCAAACGGG